GAUGAACGCUGGCGGCGUGCCUAAUACAUGCGAGUCGAGCGAACAGACGAGGAGCUUGCUCCUCUGACGUUAGCGGCGGACGGGUGAGUAACACGUGGAUAACCUACCUAUAAGACUGGGAUAACUUCGGGAAACCGGAGCUAAUACCGGAUAAUAUAUUGAACCGCAUGGUUCAAUAGUGAAAGACGGUUUUGCUGUCACUUAUAGAUGGAUCCGCGCCGCAUUAGCUAGUUGGUAAGGUAACGGCUUACCAAGGCAACGAUGCGUAGCCGACCUGAGAGGGUGAUCGGCCACACUGGAACUGAGACACGGUCCAGACUCCUACGGGAGGCAGCAGUAGGGAAUCUUCCGCAAUUGGCGAAAGCCUGACGGAGCAACGCCGCGUGAGUGAUGAAGGUCUUCGGAUCGUAAAACUCUGUUAUUAGGGAAGAACAAAUGUGUAAGUAACUAUGCACGUCUUGACGGUACCUAAUCAGAAAGCCACGGCUAACUACGUG
RNAcentral lists this ribosomal RNA (497 nucleotides) under uncultured bacterium. Its description in RNAcentral is "partial 16S ribosomal RNA". It matches the Rfam family "Bacterial small subunit ribosomal RNA", at positions 28 to 507 of the family's 1533-position model. The record is from RNAcentral.